RNAcentral lists this ribosomal RNA (1348 nucleotides) under uncultured bacterium. RNAcentral's name for it is "bacterial SSU rRNA". It matches the Rfam family "Bacterial small subunit ribosomal RNA", at positions 28 to 1381 of the family's 1533-position model. The record is from RNAcentral.
GAUAAACGCUGUCGGCGUGCAUAACACAUGCAAGUCGAACGAUGAAGAUUAUGAAGAUUUCUUCGGAAUGAACUGAAUUGGAUUAGUGGCGGACGGGUGAGUAACGCGUGAGCAACCUGCCUUGUACAAGGGGAUAGCCGUUGGAAACGACGAAUAAUACCCUAUGACAUGAGAUUAUCGCAUGAAAAUAUCAUCAGAGAUUGAUCGGUAUAAGAUGGACUCUCGUCUGAUUAGCUAGUUGGUGGGGUAAAAGCCUACCAAGGCAACGAUCAAUAGCCAGCUUGAGAGAGUGUACGGACACAUUGGGACUGAUACACGGGCCAGACUCCUACGGGAGGCAUCAGUGGGGAAUUUUGCACAAUGGGGGAAACCCUGAUGCAGCGACGCCGCGUGAUUUAGAAGGCCUUCGGGUUGUAAGAAUCUUUUGUAUGGGAAGAAAAUGACAGUACCAUACGAAUAAGGACCGGCUAAUUACGUGCCACCAGCCGCGGUAAUACGUAAGGUCCGAGCGGUGUCCGGAAUCAUUGGGCGUAAAGGGUACGUAGGCGGAUAAGCAAGUGAGAACUUGAAUCCUAUAGCUCAACUAUAGCAAGCUUUUAAAACUGCUCAUCUUGAGGUAUGGAAGGGAAAUUGGAAUUCCUAGUGUAGCGGUGAAAUGCGCAGAUAUUAGCAGCAAUACCGGUGGCGAUGGUGACUUUCUGUCCAUAAACUGACGAUGAGGUACGAAAGCGUGGGUCGCAAACAGGAUUAGAUACCGUGCUAGUCCACGCCGUAAACGAUGAGUGUUAGGUGUCUGGAAUAAUGUGGGUGCCGCAGCUAACGCAUUAAACACUCCGCCUGGGGAGUACGCACGCAAGUGUGAACCUCAAAGGAAUUGACGGGGACCCGCACAAGCAGCGGAGCAUGUGGUUUAAUUCGACGCAACGCGAAGAACCUUACCAAGUCUUGACAUAAUUCGGAAGCUUUUAGAGAUAAGAGCCUACAUCUUCGGAUGACUGUAUUACAGGUGGUGCAUGGUUGUCGUCGGCUCGUGUCGUGAGAUGUUGGGUUAAGUCCCAUAACGAGCGCCACCCUUAUUGUUAGUUACCAUCAUUAAGUUGGGGACUCUAGCAAUCCUCCCGGUGAUAAUCCGGAGGGAGGUGGGGAUGACGUCAAUUCUUCAUGCCCUUUAUGACUUGGGCUACACCCGUGUUCCAAUGGCAGGUCCACAGGGAAGCGAGAUUGUGAAGUUAAGCGAUAUUCAAAAAGCCUGUCCCAGUUCGGAUUGCAUUCUGCAAUUGGAGUGCAUGAAUUGGGAGUUGUUAGUAUUCGUGGAUCAGAAUGCCGCGGUGAAUGCGUUCCCGGGUCU